GUUCCCGUAGCCUAAUUGGAUACGGCGCUACCCUCCGGAGGUAGAGACUGAAGGUUCGAGUCCUUCCGGGAACGCCA
Molecule: transfer RNA, 77 nt
Filed under: marine sediment metagenome
Description: tRNA-Arg
Rfam family: tRNA
About the family: Transfer RNA (tRNA) molecules are approximately 80 nucleotides in length. Their secondary structure includes four short double-helical elements and three loops (D, anti-codon, and T loops).
Source: RNAcentral